AUGAGGAAAGAGUUAUUUAUUGAACUAAGUAUUAGCAGUGUGAGGACAGAUAACCUUUUGUUUGGAAGUGGGACCACUCUCACAGUUGAACCAAACAAUCAAAACAGUUCUGUCCCAGAAGUCAUUGUGAUGAAAUCAAAGAAACUGAAAGAAGAUGGCAGCAUUGGAAAAGCAGUUUGUUUGGCAAGGAAUUUCUAUACAAAGAACAUCAGCUUGGCAAUGUCCUCUAAUGAGGUCGUAUAUGAACAGAGUACAUCCAUUUUGACAUCAGAGGGAUUGUACAAUACUAUUAAGGUGGUCAAUGUGACAAAAGACACAGAGGUGACCUGCACGGCCAAAUUCAACGGCAGCACUAUUACAGCCAACACAACAUUGCCAGAAAAGGAGGCUGAAGAACCAGUAAAAGGGAAAGUUUGCAACAACACAGACACCUCUGCACAAGAUACCAAAGUGGAGAAAGCGAACAUGCUGUCUAUGGCUGUGCUGGGUUUGAGAGUCCUGCUGGCAAAAAGUAUCGCCGUUAAUACACUCAUGAGUAUCAAGUUGUUUCUCUUCUGA
This is a non-coding RNA of Fulmarus glacialis (Northern fulmar), 558 nucleotides long. Lineage: Eukaryota; Metazoa; Chordata; Aves; Procellariiformes; Procellariidae. The record is from the annotation of a RefSeq genome assembly.